GGUAAUUAUUGUCCAACUAUGGAUUAACUAAAUUUAAAAGAUUCAUCUCAUGAUUUAUAGGUAAACUGUACAAUUAGUUUUUAUUUUUGUGUAUAUUUAAUACUUCAUACAUAUGUCACAAUCGAUGUGACGGAGAAUCUUAAAAAGUUUUUGAUUUUUUUGAUGCAACUAAACAAGGCCUUUGAAAAUAUUAAGUCGAACUACCUU
RNAcentral lists this long non-coding RNA (207 nucleotides) under Sorghum bicolor (sorghum). RNAcentral's name for it is "long non-coding RNA (SBIC_LNC014639)". The record is from RNAcentral. Lineage: Eukaryota; Viridiplantae; Streptophyta; Magnoliopsida; Poales; Poaceae.